Molecule: RNA transcript, 2380 nt
Organism: Danio aesculapii
Lineage: Eukaryota; Metazoa; Chordata; Actinopteri; Cypriniformes; Danionidae
Gene: b4gat1
Gene name: beta-1,4-glucuronyltransferase 1
Exons: 3
Source: RefSeq, a predicted model, not a curated record
GUGCUGUGCAUGUUCACAGGCGUAAAACGGACGUCUUUUUUUACUAUUCAAACAUGCAAAUCAAUUCCCGCGCAAACUGACCUGCACUACAUCUUGCUGCAAUGCAAGUCAACGCAAAAUCCGCUGCAUGCAUGCACGAGGGUUGCUUAGCUGGAUAGCAUAAGUGUUGCCCUGGCUAACCCCCUUGGUGGUCUGCAGCCACUGUUGAAGAACAUUUCAUCAACAUCCACUAAAUGCUACAAGCAUUUGUAAUGCAUUUCUCUAAAAAAUGCUCCGUGUUUAAAGUGGUGCUCAGCGCCCUACUUAUUGUAGCUCUGCUGCAGCUUUUAUAUCUAUCCUUCCUCUCAAAACUGCAUGGCAAACAGCAGCGCUACAAAUAUUCAGAGCUUUUUGGCUCCAAAAAGAACGCAAACCAAGGAGAGAAGAACCCCAGACGGGAACAUCUCAGAUACUCUUUAUCCACAGGUGGGAUCUUCGAUGGGAGCGGACAGUAUCGAGUGUAUAAAAACCUAAUUAAAAGCGACUUUUCGACCAAUCAGAAGCCAGGCGCUGAUCCCAGAUCGCACCACUUGGCUUUAGCGACGCACACGACUAUCAACAAUCUUCACCAUUUAAACUCUUUAUUGGAGCGCUGGAAGAAUCCAAUCUCUGUCGCUAUUUUCGCUAAUGGCGAAGAUGUUAAAUUCGCGACAGCCAUCGUCUACGCGCUUAGCCUGUUUUGCCCACAGGUUCAAGCACUGGUAGACUUCCAUCUUGUCUGCCAUUCUGGUGAAAUGGCCACUUUUCCAGAUCAAGAUCGAGAGCAUUUUGUUGGCCUCCAGGAGGUGGGCUGUCCUGCCGUAUUCGCCAAACUCGAAUCCCACAGAGAUAAAUAUAAAAACUACGCCAUUGGCAGCAACGUUUCGUACCCCAAUAACCUUCUCCGCAAUGUGGCCCGCAGCGGCACAGACGCGGCCUACAUCCUAGUCAUCGAUAUCGACAUGAUACCCAGUGCCAAUCUUCACCAUCAGUUUGUGACCAUGCUAAUGAGACGUGAACCGGCAGAGGACGAAGUUCUGGUGCUUCCAGCUUUCGAAAUCCGACACAUUCGUAAAAUGCCGGCCUCGAAGCCGGAGCUGGUGCAGCUUUAUCAGGUGGGCGAGGUGCGGCCAUUUUAUGAUGAACUCUGCCCUCGCUGUCAGGCUCCCACUAACUACUCGCUGUGGGUUAACCUGGCCAGUAAAAGCUCAGGCCCGCUGGAGGUUUCCUACACUAUAAACUGGGUGGACCCCUGGGAGCCGUUCUACAUCGGUGCUCGAUCCGUUCCUCUGUAUGAUGAGAGCUUCAGGCAGUACGGCUUUAACCGCAUCAGCCAGGCCUGUGAGCUUCACAUCGCAGGUUACCGCUUUUCUGUGGUCAGCAAUGCGUUUCUCCUGCACAAAGGGUUUAAGGUCCAGGGAGAGUUUCACAGCAGAAAAGACGAGGAGAACCGCAAGAACCGAAUCCUCUUCCGCAGCUUCAAGGAGAGCCUGAAGGCCAAAUAUCCAACCUCGCCUCGCCGCUGCUGAGAAAACAGACAACACUACAGUCAAAUCCUCAACAUCUUCCAGACUUCACCUAGAAGAAUCACAGAUGUACAAAACUGAACAAACACUGUCUGUAUUUUCAAGUACUUUCAGAAACUGUACUGUCAAAGGGGACACUCAUGAAUGCUACAUUUAUUUAUAAGGGUAUGAUGCGUAUUUACAGCAUAAGAGGCCCAAUGUUCUGCGCCUCUGUGAUGUUGUGACGCCAUAAGUACACGUGUUUGAGUUCCUGACGAGACGUCUUGCAAAGACCCAGAGAUUAGUUGUAAAGCUAUUAACAUAUUAAGGUCGAUAGACCACUUUUAUGCUAAUAAUGACUCCAAAGACGCUCAGAGAUCCUGAUGAUAUUACACACGCACAGGGAGCGCUGUCUGAAAAUCAUAUUAGUGUUUUAAUUAUAUCUGGCUGUGGAUUAGGAGUAGAUGACAAUAAAGUGACAUUAGAUUAUUAUGGCUGUAGUGACUGAAGCCACCACAUGGUGUGCAGAUGAAUACAACGAACGAGCAAUACUGUGUUUGUUAUAGAUACUGUAAGAGAUAUGAACACUUAAGGCUAAGUUACAAAAAGGAAACUUUUCUUUUCAUUGAGUGAUGCUGAAUUGGUGUGUUUUUACAUUUGUUUCCUCUCUGUGUUGCUAAUUAAUUUAAUAAUAAUAAUGUUUUGGAUAUUUAGCGCCAUUUAACCUGAAAGUUUUGUUUAAUAUUGGAAGCAUGUUGUGACAACUGAACACUGGAAAAACACUGUCAAUCCCGAAACCUUAUUGUGAUACUGAUGAUCAAAUGAUUGUGUUUUAUAAAGUUGUGACAUAAAGUGAA